UGACCUACGGGAGGCAGCAGUGGGGAAUCUUAGACAAUGGGGGCAACCCUGAUCUAGCCAUGCCGCGUGAGUGAUGAAGGCCUUAGGGUUGUAAAGCUCUUUCAGCUGGGAAGAUAAUGACGGUACCAGCAGAAGAAGCCCCGGCUAACUCCGUGCCAGCAGCCGCGGUAAUACGGAGGGGGCUAGCGUUGUUCGGAAUUACUGGGCGUAAAGCGCACGUAGGCGGACCAGAAAGUUGGGGGUGAAAUCCCGGGGCUCAACCCCGGAACUGCCUUCAAAACUAUUGGUCUGGAGUUCGAGAGAGGUGAGUGGAAUUCCGAGUGUAGAGGUGAAAUUCGUAGAUAUUCGGAGGAACACCAGUGGCGAAGGCGGCUCACUGGCUCGAUACUGACGCUGAGGUGCGAAAGCGUGGGGAGCAAACAGGAUUAGAUACCCGAGUAGUCG
This 444-nucleotide ribosomal RNA is filed under the name uncultured Paracoccus sp. RNAcentral describes it as "bacterial SSU rRNA". It matches the Rfam family "Bacterial small subunit ribosomal RNA", at positions 333 to 796 of the family's 1533-position model. Lineage: Bacteria; Pseudomonadati; Pseudomonadota; Alphaproteobacteria; Rhodobacterales; Paracoccaceae. The record is from RNAcentral.